This 21-nucleotide microRNA is filed under the name Bos taurus (domestic cattle). RNAcentral's name for it is "bta-miR-2333". The record is from miRBase by way of RNAcentral. Lineage: Eukaryota; Metazoa; Chordata; Mammalia; Artiodactyla; Bovidae.
GCAAUGCAGACUCCAGGGCCC